RNAcentral lists this small nuclear RNA (298 nucleotides) under Tinamus guttatus (white-throated tinamou). RNAcentral's name for it is "7SK RNA". It matches the Rfam family "7SK RNA". Rfam says of the family: 7SK was discovered as an abundant small nuclear RNA in the mid-70s but a possible function has only recently been suggested. Two independent studies have found that 7SK RNA binds the CDK9/cyclin T complex (known as elongation factor P-TEFb). Lineage: Eukaryota; Metazoa; Chordata; Aves; Tinamiformes; Tinamidae. The record is from Rfam by way of RNAcentral.
GAAUGUGAGGGUGAUCUGGCUGUGACAUCUGUCACCCCACUGAUCACCAGGAUUGAUUCGGCUGAUCUGGCUGGCUAGGUGAGCGUUCCCUUCCUCCUUCACUGCUCCAUGUGCGUCCCUCCCGAAGCUGCGUGCUCGGCUCAAGGGGACGACCGUCCCCAAUUGAACGGUACGUCUCUUUGGUCAAGGGUAUACAGUAGCUGUGCUCCCCUGCUAGAACUUCUCAACAAGAUCAUGCAGCUGGGAGCAUUCUGAGCUGGCAUUGGGAAAAUAAUGCUCAGUUGAGUAAUAUUAAUUU